RNAcentral lists this unclassified non-coding RNA (283 nucleotides) under fungal sp. RNAcentral describes it as "partial internal transcribed spacer region". The stretch from base 1 to 46 matches the Rfam family "Eukaryotic small subunit ribosomal RNA", at positions 1786 to 1831 of the family's 1831-position model. The record is from RNAcentral. Lineage: Eukaryota; Fungi.
AAGUCGUAACAAGGUUUCCGUAGGUGAACCUGCGGAAGGAUCAUUAGCGUAGUUGUGCAGUGCAAUGGUGACGAAAGUCAUCAUCUACACUCACACACAACACAUCACCUUGUGAACUUGGAUUUGUGUGCUCGGCACGACUGGAGGUCGCAAGGCCGCCAGUCUGUCGUCUUAAACAUUUGACAUUUUGACAUUUUAUACUUCAUUGUAAUGCAGCAGAGGAAACUCUAUGCAGAAUUCUGAACCAUACACACAACUUUUAACAAUGGAUCUCUAGGCUCCU